UCUAUAUCUCAGAUCCCUGUUCGUAAUGGAAUUUCUUAAAAUCUUAAAGUGUAGUAUCUUCUAUUUCCAGGAUGCUGUGGCUUUAGUGCAGGACAUAGCAGACGCAGAAGAAGCAUCUAGAAAACUCAUCCAAGAGGCUUUUGCACGCGGUAGCUCAGACAACAUAACUUGUGUUGUUGUCCAGUUUGAUAUUUCAGAGUAGACUCGUUCAUAUUCCAAGGUUCAGCUUACUUAUUAAAACGGCAUCCAAGCAAUGUGGAAAGACUAUUGAGGCAAUAGUUUCCUGAAAUUGUCUUUAAGUAAUUAGUGUAUUGGGCUGACAGCUCAGUUUUCAAGUUGUAAGUCCUGAACUCCUGGUUGUCACCACAACCCGUAGUGAAUUGUCAAUUGUUGCUUCAAUGUAGUUUUGAAUUUGAGUUCCUUCUUUUUGUUGUGAAAAUGAAAGCUUGGAUGCCUUUCAAAUGGCCACAUCCAAAAAGAAGGAAAAACCUGUGUGUGUUUUUGUGUGUUUUGUAUCUCUGUCUUCAAGGACUGGUUAUUGAGGAUUGACAAAUGAUACGAGUUCAUACAGGUGCUCGACCUGGUA
Non-coding RNA from Prunus avium (sweet cherry), 586 nucleotides. The record is from RefSeq and is a predicted model, not a curated record. Lineage: Eukaryota; Viridiplantae; Streptophyta; Magnoliopsida; Rosales; Rosaceae.